This 181-nucleotide small nuclear RNA is filed under the name Otolemur garnettii (small-eared galago). Its description in RNAcentral is "U4 spliceosomal RNA". It matches the Rfam family "U4 spliceosomal RNA". Rfam says of the family: U4 small nuclear RNA (U4 snRNA) is a component of the major U2-dependent spliceosome. The record is from Rfam by way of RNAcentral. Lineage: Eukaryota; Metazoa; Chordata; Mammalia; Primates; Galagidae.
AGCUUUGCACAGUGGCAGUAUAGUAGCCAAUGAGGUUUAUCCGUGGCAUGAUUAUUACUAGUUGAAAUGAAUUAUUGUGACAGAUGCUGUAGAGCUUCUGAUAAAUGAGAUGGAUGGAUAAUCUAUAAUCAGUUUCUUUCCACCUAGGCUAUCUUAUCAAUCUUUGUGAGACAUUAAAUGU